RNAcentral lists this small RNA (68 nucleotides) under Chryseobacterium limigenitum. RNAcentral describes it as "Flavo-1 RNA". It matches the Rfam family "Flavo-1 RNA". Lineage: Bacteria; Pseudomonadati; Bacteroidota; Flavobacteriia; Flavobacteriales; Weeksellaceae. The record is from RNAcentral.
UCCUAGCCCCGAUUGAAGUGAAAAUCCUUUUUUGAAAAAAAAGAUUGUAGCGGAAAGCGGGAAAUAGC